This 489-nucleotide ribosomal RNA is filed under the name uncultured bacterium. Its description in RNAcentral is "bacterial SSU rRNA". It matches the Rfam family "Bacterial small subunit ribosomal RNA", at positions 21 to 507 of the family's 1533-position model. The record is from RNAcentral.
GGCUCAGGAUGAACGCUAGCGGCAGGCCUAAUACAUGCAAGUCGAGGGAGAAGUUGUCUUCGGAUGACGGGAACCGGCGAACGGGUGCGUAACACGUAUGCAAUCUGCCCCUGACUGGAGCAUAGCCCGGGGAAACUCGGAUUAAUACUCCAUAACAUUAUGAAAUGGCAUCAUUUUAUAAUCAAAGUUCCGACGGUCAGGGAUGAGCAUGCGGCCCAUUAGCUUGUUGGUGAGGUAACGGCUCACCAAGGCUACGAUGGGGUAGGGGGUCUGAGAGGAUGACUCCCCCACACUGGUACUGAGACACGGACCAGACUCCUACGGGAGGCAGCAGUAGGGAAUAUUGGGCAAUGGACGAAAGUCUGACCCAGCCAUGCCGCGUGCAGGAUGACUGCCCUAUGGGUUGUAAACUGCUUUUCUACGGGAAGAAACACUCAUACGUGUGUGAGCUUGACGGUACCGUAGGAAUAAGGAUCGGCUAACUCCGUG